RNAcentral lists this ribosomal RNA (253 nucleotides) under uncultured bacterium. RNAcentral's name for it is "partial 16S ribosomal RNA". It matches the Rfam family "Bacterial small subunit ribosomal RNA", at positions 524 to 776 of the family's 1533-position model. The record is from RNAcentral.
UACAGAGGGGGCAAGCGUUGUUCGGAAUUACUGGGCGUAAAGGGCGCGUAGGCGGCCUUCUAAGUCGAACGUGAAAUCCCUGGGCUCAACCCAGGAACUGCGUCCGAUACUGGAAGGCUUGAAUCCGGGAGAGGGAUGCGGAAUUCCAGGUGUAGCGGUGAAAUGCGUAGAUAUCUGGAGGAACACCGGUGGCGAAGGCGGCAUCCUGGACCGGUUCUGACGCUGAUGCGCGAAAGCGUGGGUAGCAAACAGG